AUGAGAUUCAGUCGGCGGUCACAUCGUCUCGUCGUGCAAUCCAAGCUACAGAUUCUUCUUCACGAAGGCACGACGCGAGUGGAUGUGCGGGCUACUACCGCUAAGGCCUGCGAAUGGCCCAUCCUAUCCUAUCCUGGUGGCUCUGGCCCGCCACCAAAACGCAGCCCAGCACCGCCGUCAUUUCCGCUCGAGUUAGUGUCCCCCUCGACGGAGAGGAGCAGAGCGGCUCCUCCUCCCCCUCGACGCCAAGCCAACCAGCAGUCAGUCAGGCCAAGCCAAGCAGCAGGCAGCCCUCCUAAACUCCUCCUGCUAUUAGUACAAGGGGACUACUUCCCUCUGUUCCUUUGCAAGAUGAAGUAG
RNAcentral lists this ribosomal RNA (360 nucleotides) under Triticum aestivum (bread wheat). RNAcentral describes it as "partial small subunit ribosomal RNA". Lineage: Eukaryota; Viridiplantae; Streptophyta; Magnoliopsida; Poales; Poaceae. The record is from RNAcentral.